UAACACGUGAGUAACCUGCCCUUAACUCUGGGAUAAGCCUGGGAAACUGGGUCUAAUACCGGAUAUGACUCCUCAUCGCAUGGUGGGGGGUGGAAAGCUUUUUGUGGUUUUGGAUGGACUCGCGGCCUAUCAGCUUGUUGGUGAGGUAAUGGCUCACCAAGGCGACGACGGGUAGCCGGCCUGAGAGGGUGACCGGCCACACUGGGACUGAGACACGGCCCAGACUCCUACGGGAGGCAGCAGUGGGGAAUAUUGCACAAUGGGCGCAAGCCUGAUGCAGCGACGCCGCGUGAGGGAUGACGGCCUUCGGGUUGUAAACCUCUUUCAGUAGGGAAGAAGCGAAAGUGACGGUACCUGCAGAAGAAGCGCCGGCUAACUACGUGCCAGCAGCCGCGGUAAUACGUAGGGCGCAAGCGUUAUCCGGAAUUAUUGGGCGUAAAGAGCUCGUAGGCGGUUUGUCGCGUCUGCCGUGAAAGUCCGGGGCUCAACUCCGGAUCUGCGGUGGGUACGGGCAGACUAGAGUGAUGUAGGGGAGACUGGAAUUCCUGGUGUAGCGGUGAAAUGCGCAGAUAUCAGGAGGAACACCGAUGGCGUAAGGCAGGUCUCUGGGCAUUAACUGACGCUGAGGAGCGAAAGCAUGGGGAGCGAACAGGAUUAGAUACCCUGGUAGUCCAUGCCGUAAA
This 683-nucleotide ribosomal RNA is filed under the name Arthrobacter sp. RNAcentral's name for it is "bacterial SSU rRNA". It matches the Rfam family "Bacterial small subunit ribosomal RNA", at positions 111 to 806 of the family's 1533-position model. The record is from RNAcentral. Lineage: Bacteria; Bacillati; Actinomycetota; Actinomycetes; Micrococcales; Micrococcaceae.